Long non-coding RNA from Micropterus dolomieu (smallmouth bass), 2571 nucleotides. RefSeq lists it as uncharacterized. Lineage: Eukaryota; Metazoa; Chordata; Actinopteri; Centrarchiformes; Centrarchidae. The transcript is spliced from 3 exons. The record is from RefSeq and is a predicted model, not a curated record.
UGACUGUGGCAGCAGAGAAAAGGUCAGGAUCACUACAGUUAUAACAAUUUGUUUUGAAUGUGAAUGUCUUGCUAGCAUGGCUAAAAACACCUGUAUUUAUUUAUAAUGCUCACAAAGUAGUCUGAGUCUUAUGUACAUAUUAGUAGAUCUAGAACACUUAUAAAAUAGCAGUCUUAUUGUGUAUUGGCUUGGCUAUAGGAUUCAAGAAUUCAUGUGGGUUUAAAAGAAAAACAAAUGCAAAUUGAGUUUAUUGUGAAUUAACUAAAAGUUUUGUUUCAUGGAAAGUUUUAGAUUGAUGGUGGUUAUCGCUUCUAGUGUUAAUGUCUCUCAGAUUGUCAUAAUGUAUGAAUAUUCCUCCUCACACUCGUCAUUAAGCCGAGUUCCUUCUUUCAGGAACCACAUGAGCAAAGGCCCCGUUGAACACAGUAAUUCAGUGAUAAGACACCAAAUUGACAUUAACCUCUACAACAUACACCUUUUACACAUAAACAUAAGCUAUUUUCAUCUUUACCUAAUAGUCAUGCCCUAAUAACUGCAAUACUUUGGCGAGAUAACUUAAAGCACAGCAGGUUGCAACAAACUCACUUUUUAAUAUUGAUUUUCAUAGUAUUUUUAACAGUUUCCACAUAAACACAUUUAUGCAUAACCCAAAAGUCUGUCAUUACAAUUCAUAAAUAUUGCAGCUAUAUAUAUAUAAAAAUCAUGUCUAUAUUUUCACUCUGUCAGCUGCAGACCAAGCUUACAACUAAUAGUAAGACAGGAUCAUCCUCCCCACUUUUGUUGAUUAAGGAAGGGUAGAAAGAACGAGUGGGUUCAAAUGAAUAUCGCCGCCCAAAAGCUGCUCUGGAGCUUUUCAUCGCAUCACAAGAUCUUCCUCAUCAAAUGGAUUGUGCCCAGUUGUCAUAGGAAUGUAGAGUUGAUGUUGAAAUUUAGACUUUUCUGAAGAACUACAAUUUUGAAUGUUUACAAUUCCAUGAAAACUGGGAAAACCCCAUCUGCUGAGGAGGAACUGAAAGCAAACAGCUCCUAAAUGAUACUUUUGGGGAGAUUGUAAGGUUUCAAACAAAACAACACUUCACCGGGUACUUCAUGAAUAUGGAGCUUGAACUUGGGCCAGAGCAGAUCGCUGCAGGAAGGCGGCACAAUGUCAGACUAGAUGUCAUCAACUUGAGGAACUGUCUUCUGAAUCGAAAACCUGGACACCCUUUCGGUGUCCAUGCCUAAACUGCAGCGCCGCCUCGCCAGAGAACCUGACCCGCCUGUGCCCGUAAUAGCAAACAUCAGGACGGACUGCCUGAGAUCACUCUUCACUUAUAAAUAUGAGGACAUGGAGAAUACUACGUGCUGUAGUUUGGUGAAAACCAGCACAGGUCAUCAUGGUGAACCCGGCAGGCUUAAGAUCACUCCGUCCAGGCCUCCCGCUGGCCUCCCGCUGGCCUCCCGCUGGCCUCCCGCUGGCCUCCCGCUGGCCUCCCGCUGGCCUCCCGCUGUCUCCAGUCCACCCAAACAAAGUUCAUAUCGCAGUUCUGAGAGCAGACCGGGGGAACGACAUCCUGCCUAUGGAGUGGGAGGGACGGCCGUACAGUCUAUAGUGCUGCAGAGGAGGAGAUAAAAGGCUGGUUCAGGGUGUCUGACUACACUGAAGAUGGCCACAUGAUACUAUCAGUAGUGUGCUACUUCCCCAUUGUGGAAGAGGACAGGGUGGAACAGGAGUAGUCUCAGAAAAAGAGGAAGAGGGAGGAGACCUCCACGGAUGACAUUAGCACUGACUUCCCUAAACGAAAAGGUCUCAGACUGUAAAAGUCUAGUGAUUAAAAGACAACCUACUAUUCCAAACCACCACAAGUACCUUAAUGUGAAGGAGUAUCAAGAAAUACUAAAAAGAUUUUCAUCCUGGUGGCAUCACACACUGCUGCAAAUCACCCAUCUGAUCAAGUGAGCAGGACAUCAUCACCUUCAAAGGCACGGAUGUGACUAAGGUCAUAUUGGAUCUUCUCUGCAGCUAAGAACAGUUAACUUUGUACAGCGAGAGAAAUGUUUAUUUUCUUUAAUAAUAAUAAUUAAAAAACUGUGAUUAAAAAGAAAGUUAGUCUCUAAUAUUUUGGUGUUGUUAUGUGUAGUCUAAAAAAGUCAAUUCAGAGAUUUAUGUGCUGAAAAGUACAAUUAAGGCAGAAAGCUGAGCUCCAACUGCCAUAGUAUAGCGCGUGCACUUUGCCAUAUAUAGCCUUUUAUGUUCCUGUGGCUGUGGUUGUAGCCAUUGCUGUGACUGGCUGUAUUUAUUGGUGUGGCUAUGGCAGUAGCUGUAGCAACUGUAUAUGGCUGUUGCUGCAGCUGUAACUUUAGUUUGUUGGUUGUGAUUUAUGUCUAGCUGGCUACUCUUUGCAGCAGCUAAGACACUGGUCAGCAAGACAAGUUGACCUACUAUCUAGCAUUGUACAUUGUAUUUCACUUUAUUUCUUUGUUUCCAUAAACUACUUGUGGAUGUCUUCUUCAUGGCCGAUUCACUUUGGGAUUGUAUUACAUAUUGGAAAAUAUCAUCUGUUUAUUAAACAUUAAAAUGUGUUACUCUCA